This is a long non-coding RNA of Rhinolophus ferrumequinum (greater horseshoe bat), 302 nucleotides long. RefSeq lists it as uncharacterized. NCBI's taxonomy places the organism in Eukaryota, Metazoa, Chordata, Mammalia, Chiroptera, Rhinolophidae. The record is from RefSeq and is a predicted model, not a curated record. The transcript is spliced from 3 exons.
GCCACACUAUUUUGUGAAAAAUCCUGGCAAAUAAGUGAACAGUUUACUGAGACUUGAGAAAAUGCAGCAAAGAAGAAUGCUCUGGAAAUGUAAAGAUGAGAAAAACACUUGAUUCUUGAGCAGCACAAGUCCAGUAGAGGAGCAGACAUAAGAAGAAACAAAUAGGGCCUAGUGAUAUCUUUCCACUUUGAAUAAAGUCUACACGGAAGAGUGUAGAGAUGAGAGAUGGAAAGAUACUGAGUCUCAGUGACAUCCUUUGAGAUGCUGUGAGAUGCUUGGUGAAGCUGGGCCUGAAGAUAGAG